This 754-nucleotide long non-coding RNA is filed under the name Malus domestica (apple). RNAcentral describes it as "long non-coding RNA (MDOM_LNC005636)". Lineage: Eukaryota; Viridiplantae; Streptophyta; Magnoliopsida; Rosales; Rosaceae. The record is from RNAcentral.
UUAUACAUACAAAAUAAAUAGAUUUAAAUCUACUUAAUAAAUAAAUAUAUAUAUAUACACACACACACACCAUUGAACUUCACGGGAUACGAAUUAUACGAAACUAAUUUCAACAAUCCAACCGUCAAACAUGUUUGUAUAUACUUCGAGAUCGCAUACGCCAAAAUUGCAAAAAACAAACAUUCAGAGAUCAAGUAAUGGGACAAAAGUUUUCGACGGUUAUAAACGAAAAAUCACGAUUUAACGGUUAAUUUAACUCCGAUUUUGAUGAUUUUUUACAACUACACUCCUUGACCCUAUAUGAAUACAAGUAAUGAAUUCGAUCUUCAAUUUAAAAUAUUUACACUAGUGGAUACCACAAAAUCUUAUGUAAUACUUAAUAAAAGUAUGAAUAAACUAUUAAGUAUUAGUGAAUCUAUUGUUUUGAUGGGAUACUCAUUAUACGAAACUAGUUUCAAAGAUCCAACCAUCAAAUAUGUUUGUAUAUACUUCGAGAUCGCAUACAUCAAAAAUUACAAAAAACAAACAUUCAGAGAUCAAUUAACGGGACAAAACUUUUCGACGGUUAUAAAAAGAAAAAUCACGAUUUAACGGUCAUUUUAACUCUGAUUUUGAUGAUUUUUUACAACCACACUCCUUGACCCUAUAUGAAUACAAUGAUUGAAUUCGAUCUUCAAUUUAAAAUAUUUACACUAGUGGAAACCAUAAAAUCUUAUAUUAUACUUAAUAAAAGUAUGAAUAAACUAUUACGUAU